GACGAACGCUGGCGGCGUGCUUAACACAUGCAAGUCGAACGAUGACGACCGAGCUUGCUCGGUCUGAUUAGUGGCGAACGGGUGAGUAACACGUGAGCAACCUGCCCUUCACUCUGGGAUAACCUCGGGAAAUCGGGGCUAAUACCGGAUAUGAGCUCCUGUCGCAUGGCGGGUGUUGGAAAGUUUUUCGGUGAAGGAUGGGCUCGCGGCCUAUCAGUUUGUUGGUGAGGUAGUGGCUCACCAAGGCGAUGACGGGUAGCCGGCCUGAGAGGGCGACCGGCCACACUGGGACUGAGACACGGCCCAGACGCCUACGGGAGGCAGCAGUGGGGAAUAUUGCACAAUGGGCGAAAGCCUGAUGCAGCGACGCCGCGUGAGGGAUGACGGCCUUCGGGUUGUAAACCUCUUUCAGCAGGGAAGAAGCGAAAGUGACGGUACCUGCAGAAGAAGCGCCGGCUAACUACGUG
This 467-nucleotide ribosomal RNA is filed under the name uncultured bacterium. RNAcentral describes it as "partial 16S ribosomal RNA". It matches the Rfam family "Bacterial small subunit ribosomal RNA", at positions 28 to 507 of the family's 1533-position model. The record is from RNAcentral.